This is a long non-coding RNA of Alosa sapidissima (American shad), 1822 nucleotides long. RefSeq lists it as uncharacterized. The transcript has 2 exons. The record is from RefSeq and is a predicted model, not a curated record. Lineage: Eukaryota; Metazoa; Chordata; Actinopteri; Clupeiformes; Clupeidae.
UACCCCCCCCCCCCCAUUAAUGCACAAAUAGGCUGACACCAGACAUAAUUUCACUGCAUUUCUUACUUCCAGUAACUAUAUGCAUGUGACAAUAAACUUCCUUGUAUCCUUGUAUCCUUGUAUCUUGUAUUGAGAUGUAGUUGCACAGUAUUUUUCCUCUUAUUAGUAAAUAUGCUACAGUAGCUAUUAAUAAGUGUAUUGCUAAAGUAAAUACACUGUAAUACUGUAGCCUACUACAUUCAUUGCGUUGAUGGAUAGUGUCUGUAUUAAUUCAUUGUCAGACAGUUAAGCUGACAUGCUUUUUGUUCUCAGUGAUUAUAAAAAAGAUUAUGACUUUGCAUGAUGUUUAAGGGACCUAAUAAUAUAAGGAAGGUAACAUAGCCUCUCUAAAACAAUUAGCCACUUCUUAAUUAUGAACCAAUAGAGAUCUAACUUUUUAAUGACAUAUUGCAUGUUGAUUUAUGUGUGUGAGAACUGUUUACCUAGAGCUGUGUACAUAAUUGCCACCAUGUCUAAAUCACUCACAUGCAAUUAUGUGCAAAUAUGAAUUGAGGUGGGAAAAAUGAUUUUAGGGAGAAAAUUACAGUGUAAAGUGUUCAGUGGCAAACCUGUAACUGAAAUGGAAAAUAUCAGAGAAGAGCUAUUCCAUUUAUCUUUCAUAUUCUUUUAUUGUCUGUUUAUUACGGUGGCCGAGAAGGGCCAUAACACAUGCAAACGCCACAACAAAUGCAUAUUCAUAAAACAAUUACAUAUUCAUAAAACACCUCCAAAUUCAUAAAACACCAACAUCGAUUUCACAACACGUGUGCUACAAAUGACAAAAACAUCUGCAUAUUCAGAAAACGCCUGCAAAUUUUGAAAACAUUUGCAUCGAUUUUACCUCACGUAUGCUGCAAAUAUUCACAACACGAGCAAACGAGGUUAACGACAUGCAAGUUGAAAAGACGACAACGGAAAUGUUUCCAGAGGGACCAUAAUCAGUGAAGACCUGCUUCCGGUUGGCGCUUCUUUUUUAUGAAUGCGGUUGAACGUGCUAUUUUCUCCCGUCCUUUAAUAACUAACGUUACAAGAGGUAAGUGAGUUUGCGCUUUUAUUAUGACAGACUUGUCUAUGUGCUCUGAUACCGAAGUGGUUUUGUGUAUUUUUAACAUAUUAAGGCAUUGUAUUGUAAGGCAUAGUGCUAACGUAUUAGUCCAUGCAGAUAAAUGUUAAACGUUCUGCAAACGUUGUUAGCUAAACGUUGUUAGCUGGCUAGCUCGCUCGCUCCUGGUUACUAAUAGAUGCAUUACCGGCGUUAUUACAUGGUUGUCCUAAGCACUGUGCCCUUUUGCGCACCACUACUUUCGAAAAUUGUCACUGUCACAUCGUAUGUAUGUAAACUCUGAUUUCAUGGUGCAAGUUCGUGCAGAUAUGAGCACCUUGCUCCUUCACCAUUUCCCGCUACUGGGACUCUGGCACUAACGUUACCUCUUGGUUAAAUCGCUAAUGUAUCAGCUUAGCAUCAUGUCGCCAGGGCUCUCUCUUAACAAUAAAACAAUUUAAAAAUGCCAUGUUAAUGCAAGAGUAUGCCUGAUAUCUGAACUAUUUAUUUAUUUAUUUAUUUCUCAGAUUGAAAUGUUCUGCCCGUUUUGUGGUGUGAAAAUGGGGGACGCUCCCAAGUUUUGCCCGUCGUGUGGCAAGAAUGUGGGGUUUCUUGCGGAGCGUCCAUCCACAUCAAGUGAAGGCCGUGGGCCUACAAUGAAUGAGACACAUAUCCCAGGAAAGGCAUUCAUGAGGUUCAGGGAAAUUAAAGAGCAAGAGAGGAGGACCUUUUCAAAGGCUA